Molecule: ribosomal RNA, 777 nt
Filed under: Dermabacter sp. 15-B-237-5
Lineage: Bacteria; Bacillati; Actinomycetota; Actinomycetes; Micrococcales; Dermabacteraceae
Description: bacterial SSU rRNA
Rfam family: Bacterial small subunit ribosomal RNA
Source: RNAcentral
GUGGAUUAGUGGCGAACGGGUGAGUAACACGUGAGUAACCUGCCCUUCACUUUGGGAUAACUCCGAGAAAUCGGGGCUAAUACUGGAUAUGACUACUGGCCGCAUGGUUGGUGGUGGAAAGUUUUUCGGUGGGGGAUGGGCUCGCGGCCUAUCAGUUUGUUGGUGAGGUAGUGGCUCACCAAGGCGAUGACGGGUAGCCGGCCUGAGAGGGCGACCGGCCACACUGGGACUGAGACACGGCCCAGACUCCUACGGGAGGCAGCAGUGGGGAAUAUUGCACAAUGGGCGAAAGCCUGAUGCAGCGACGCCGCGUGGGGGAUGACGGCCUUCGGGUUGUAAACCUCUUUCAGCAAGGAAGAAGCGAAAGUGACGGUACUUGCAGAAGAAGCGCCGGCUAACUACGUGCCAGCAGCCGCGGUAAUACGUAGGGCGCAAGCGUUGUCCGGAAUUAUUGGGCGUAAAGAGCUUGUAGGUGGCUUGUCGCGUCUGCCGUGAAAACCCGAGGCUUAACCUUGGGCGUGCGGUGGGUACGGGCAGGCUAGAGUGCGGUAGGGGAGACUGGAAUUCCUGGUGUAGCGGUGAAAUGCGCAGAUAUCAGGAGGAACACCGAUGGCGAAGGCAGGUCUCUGGGCCGUUACUGACACUGAGAAGCGAAAGCAUGGGGAGCGAACAGGAUUAGAUACCCUGGUAGUCCAUGCCGUAAACGUUGGGCACUAGGUGUGGGGAGCAUUCCACGUUUUCCGCGCCGUAGCUAACGCAUUAAGUGCCCCGCCUGGG